Long non-coding RNA from Vespula vulgaris, 258 nucleotides. RefSeq lists it as uncharacterized. The transcript has 3 exons. Lineage: Eukaryota; Metazoa; Arthropoda; Insecta; Hymenoptera; Vespidae. The record is from RefSeq and is a predicted model, not a curated record.
GAAGAGAAAAGUGAUGGAGGAGAUGAAGAAGUCGAAGAUGGGGAUGAAGAGCAUGAGUCCACCCUCGUCUACAAAAUCGAGAUGAUACUAAGCAAGUUCCUGCGAGUGUCCAAAUAAUAUUCCAAACAGAAACGAUUCAGAAUAAUAUAUAAGCUCCUGACCAGUGAAAAUAGUGGAUAGUAUCUAGAAGAUUCUGCAGAACACACUAUCGAUAGUUGUAAAAGUUUUGAUUAUCAAUGGAAGCACAAUUAUAUUCCC